This 75-nucleotide transfer RNA is filed under the name Chloroflexota bacterium. RNAcentral describes it as "Chloroflexi bacterium tRNA-Arg". It matches the Rfam family "tRNA". Rfam says of the family: Transfer RNA (tRNA) molecules are approximately 80 nucleotides in length. Their secondary structure includes four short double-helical elements and three loops (D, anti-codon, and T loops). Further hydrogen bonds mediate the characteristic L-shaped molecular structure. tRNAs have two regions of fundamental functional importance: the anti-codon, which is responsible for specific mRNA codon recognition, and the 3' end, to which the tRNAs corresponding amino acid is attached (by aminoacyl-tRNA synthetases). tRNAs cope with the degeneracy of the genetic code in two manners: having more than one tRNA (with a specific anti-codon) for a particular amino acid; and 'wobble' base-pairing, i.e. permitting non-standard base-pairing at the 3rd anti-codon position. The record is from RNAcentral. Lineage: Bacteria; Bacillati; Chloroflexota.
GCCCUCGUAGCUCAGGGGAUAGAGCACCGGCCUCCGGAGCCGGGUGCGCAGGUUCGAAUCCUGCCGAGGGUGCCA